GAAGUAGAGGUGCGCGUUUUAGGUGUAUCGGCAAAGAGGGGCGGUCUCCUUACGACUUGCCGAAAAGGGAAAACGCGCCGAAGAAAUGCCGGCCGGCCGCGGUCUUGCGUUUCUGGAUGCAACGAGGAGCGGCGUUGUGUCUGUCACGAAACAUUCGUGGAGCGCUGCUCU
This 171-nucleotide non-coding RNA is filed under the name human gut metagenome. RNAcentral describes it as "Lysine riboswitch". It matches the Rfam family "Lysine riboswitch aptamer". Rfam says of the family: Riboswitches are metabolite binding domains within certain messenger RNAs that serve as precision sensors for their corresponding targets. Allosteric rearrangement of mRNA structure is mediated by ligand binding, and this results in modulation of gene expression. The record is from RNAcentral.